RNAcentral lists this ribosomal RNA (253 nucleotides) under uncultured bacterium. Its description in RNAcentral is "partial 16S ribosomal RNA". It matches the Rfam family "Bacterial small subunit ribosomal RNA", at positions 524 to 776 of the family's 1533-position model. The record is from RNAcentral.
UACGUAGGGGGCAAGCGUUGUCCGGAUUUAUUGGGCGUAAAGAGCGUGUAGGCGGCCAGAUAGGUCAGCUGUGAAAACUCGAGGCUCAACCUCGAGAUGUCGGCUGAAACCAUCUGGCUAGAGUCCGGAAGAGGAGAAUGGAAUUCCCGGUGUAGCGGUGAAAUGCGCAGAUAUCGGGAAGAACACCCGUGGCGAAGGCGGCUAUCUGGACGGUUUCUGACGCUAAGACGCGAAAGCGUGGGGAGCAAACAGG